GAAAGAGUCUGUGGUGUGUGCAGAACCACUCUGCUAAUAGAAAGGUUAACUUGUAUUUUUGAAUUAUUGAUGAUUGCUUGUUACUAAUUUUUUUUCUCAGAAAGGAGGAAAUUAUUAAUGAAGAGAUCAUUGCCAAUGUGUCUGACAUCUAUUAAUGGUUUCAUCUUGAAACCAGAUUAAAAGAGACAGCUGGUCCAUGAAUUUGUGCGUGGAGACAGCCCCAAAUGCGCUGACAAGCCUGUGGGAGGGCGGGGCCGCCAGGCACGGGGCCUGGGCAUUGGCACAGGUGGCUGGUGAGAGGUCCCCUCCCGGCUGGCAUGGCCUGGUCCAAGGGCCGUCAAAGGCUUUGCUGCAGAGGGACCAGGCAGCGGAUGGGCCAUCACUCUCCUGACAUCUUUUCAACUCUUCUGUUGCCCUGGGAGCCCACUGACACCUUUCUCUGCCAGUCACUUACUGGCAUUUUCUCCAUGGCUGUUUUAGAUCUGUGAUUUUCAACAUGAGCUUGCAUCUUCUAAACAUGCUCACCUGGGAGCAUCACCUGGGAGACUGGUAAAAACACAUUCUUGGGUGAUACUGAUGCCGCCAGUCCAAGGACCACAUUUUGAGAACCAGUUUUUACCAAUGAUUGUCAGCUUGCACUGUGACACUGCUCUGGAGAAGGGGCUGGCAACUUCUGUAAAGGGCAAGGACAGUAAAUAUUUUCAGUGAAAGGGGCCAAAUAAUCUCUGUCACAGUUACUCAAUUCUGCCUCUGCAGUGUCCAGAGCAGCCAAGGGCAAUUGUAAACAAAUAUGCAGGACUGUGUUUCAAUAAAACUUUAUUUAUAAAAACAGGAGGUGGGCUAGAUUCUGGCUUAUGUGAAUAAUGUUUUUAUGGCAGAAAUAUUAAUAAACACUAGUGCUGCUGUUACUGAACCAAAUUUGGGUCUGCUUUCCCACGUGCAGGCAAGCCAAUCUACUUACACUGGGUUCUGGUGAAGGAAAGUGCAGUGUUUACUGCAGGGAACCAAGUAAGGAGUUAGUGUUUUAAAGGGCAGCUAGUGUUUUAAAGGCCCAAACUCCCUGAAGGCUCUCAGGAGAAGGUUUUUAAAGACAGGAUAAGGGAGGGGGAUUCUGGGGUGUGUGAUCAGCUCGUGGACAUCCUUCUGAUCAGUUGUCAAUGUCAUCAGGAGUCAAUGUCAUCAACCUUCUGGUUCCGACCCGACUGGGGCUACGUGCUUGUGGGCGGCACAGAGUUAACUUCUUCCUCCUGGUGGGGGUUUCAGUCUCUGC
Molecule: long non-coding RNA, 1270 nt
Organism: Bos taurus (domestic cattle)
Lineage: Eukaryota; Metazoa; Chordata; Mammalia; Artiodactyla; Bovidae
Source: Ensembl